AACGAACGCUGGCGGCGUGGAUAAGACAUGCAAGUGGGACGCUAAUCAAUGGGUAGCAAUAUUCGUUGGUUGGAGUCGCGUAAGGGUGCGUAACACGUGGGUAAUUUGCCGCGAAGCUCGGAAUAACUUGCCGAAAGGUAAGCUAAUACCGAAUGUGACUCGUGCUGGGCAUCCAGUAUCAGUCAAAGCCGGGGAUCGUAAGACCUGGCACUUCGCGAUAAGCCCGCGGCCUAUCAGCUAGUUGGUGAGGUAAUGGCUCACCCAAGGCUUAGACGGGUAGCUGGUCUUUAGAGGACGACCAGCCACACUGGAACUGAGACACGGUCCAGACACCUACGGGUGGCAGCAGUCGAGAAUUUUUUCACAAUGGGCGAAAGCCUGAUGGAGCGACGCCGCGUGGGGGAUGAAUGGCGUUCGGCCCGUAAACCCCUGUCAUUCGGGAUCAAAUCUGAUACCUAACACGUUGUUAGUUAGUAUAGUACUGAAAGAGG
Molecule: ribosomal RNA, 491 nt
Filed under: uncultured bacterium
Lineage: Bacteria
Description: bacterial SSU rRNA
Rfam family: Bacterial small subunit ribosomal RNA
Source: RNAcentral